AAUUACUCCAUUUUGAAUAUUACUGAUUACACUCACUAAUUUCCUUUUUAGCUUUCCUAUUUUCCUUUAUUUUGCUGCAUCUCUUCACCCCAUCCCACUCCAAGCUUUACUUCGAGACCUUUCAUCUUCCGGAACUCUCCCGUUCCGUGACUCGGCAGUCGCCUCUCCAUUUUCACUCUAUGGGCCACAUAUUUUGGUAUACUUCUUUCUUUGCUGCUAUUUUAAUUAUUUUUAUUUUUAUAUUUGGGGCAAAUUGGUGACAGUGAUACUGCAAUGGAGCUGUGAGUUUAGUUAACUCAACCAUUCACUUUUAAAAAUUACUACUUAUUUAAGAAGAAAAGAAUCUGAUCACAUUCUUUUGAAACGACUUUCUGAUUUUCCUUAUUUGUUAUUCAGAAAACAGGGGAUUGUUUAGGGGUUUCAAUUGUAUACUUAUAUCUCUGAUUAGAGUGCUCUGACCCUUAAAUGCUUAUCUGGGUUUUGAAUAGUUCAAAUAUGUUGCUUCUAUUUAACGGAAGUUAGUGAGAUAAAGAGAAGUUGUGGGCUGAUAAAAUAUGACAAAUGAAACCUAACCAUUUUUGGUCUCAUGUUUGAAUGGGCAUUAGUUGGUUAUUGAAAUCAGUUUCUUCUCCUUUGUUUGUUAUGCAAUUCAAACAAAUUGACGUUGUUGAGAAUUAUUUAUAUUUUUCCAAGAAGUAUAAUGCUGCUGCAGCAACAACAACAACGACCCAAUAAAGUCCCACAAGUGGGGUCUGGGUAGGAUAGUGAUACACAUACCUAUUCGAUAGACCCUCGGCUCAAAAUAAGUAUAAUGCAAAUAUGAAAAUUCAUGUAUCAUAAAUGAAUGAGCAAACUACUUUUUGAGGUGAAUGCAGGUUGUUGAAAUCAAAAUGAGCUGCGAUGAUUGAUAAAUUUGUGCGUAUUGGUUCAUAGCUUUCAGCUCACAAAUUUGUAAAUUUUUCUUUUAUCUUUCAAAAACUUAAAUAGUUAGGAUUUAAUUUAGUCGGCUAGAUGUGUGAUUUCCCUAUUGAAAAAGAGGAUGUGUGUUUUGUUAUUGUCUUGUUGUUUGUGUUGUAGAUAGAGUGAGGCAUGAGUAAAAUAGGAUUUUUAAAUGAGUGUUUAAUUCAUUAUGCAGAGGUGAAGUAUUUGCUUGUCUAGUAAUGUGCUAUUAUCAUCGUUUCCAAAUGUGAAAAUUAAUAGAUGACAAUUGUGAAUUUUUUUUUUUGUUAUGGUAAUAUACAUGAUAACACUCAUUAAAUUUUUUCAUUGUCAACUUUUUUUUUUUUUUAAACGGAUGGUGGCAACUCUAUGUUAAUGGCGGUGGAGCAGCUAUUACCUUGAAAUCUUGGGUCUGACACUAGUUCGACCUUAGAAAUAUAAUCAAAACAUAAUAAGCAAUAAUAGAUUUGUUUCUUUGUAGGCUAGGAGAAUGCUAAGUGCAUAUUUGAGAAAAGAUUUUAAUAAUACACCCUGUAAUACUAUCAGUGCAGUUUAACCUGCGAACAAGUUAAUUAUCUUUUUUACCAAUUAAUGGUUAUCGUUCAGAUUUACUUAUAAUUAUCUUAUAAGUAGUUUGAUUGUAUGAAUAUAUAUCACAUUGUCACUGCAUAAAACUUAAACUCAUAGGAGAAAUAAUAGACUCGUUUGUACACAAGUGGACUGAAAAACAAAUGGCAUAAUCAAUUAAACCUCAUUUCUCCAAGAACUACGCAUUUCACUUUGUUAAUCCCCAUAUAUUUCUCCAUUACUUAUGUUAAAGAGCUAUUUAUUCUGAAGUAGUGUUAGGAGCUAAUCUAUGGGGAUAUCCAUUAUUUUCGAUAGCAAACUUGACCGUACUUUGAUGCCAAAUUGAAGAUUUAAAUAUUACGUUAUUAUUGCGGCCUUGGUCUACCGGUAAAAGUGCAAUUCCUCAAGUAGUGUUAGGAACAAAUAUGGGAUAUCCAUUCUUUUAGAUAGCAAACUUGACCCUACUUUGACCCCAAAUUGAAGAUGUAAAUAUUACGUAUUAUUACCCUCAGAGCCUUGGUCUACUGGUGAAAGAGUUAUGCCUCAUGUGUGGGUUACGCAUGUUAUAGGUUCGAAAUAUUUAAGAAGAAAUUUGUUGAAAUAUUUAAUUAUUAAAGCUCUUGACGCAAAUAGGGUGCUAUUCUCUGAACAGAAACAUUACAAACUCAAAAGCUCUGAAAUUAUUAUUGGAGUUUACAUUUUCUUAGUAAGAUGCAAAAUUCCUGUAUGUCUCACAAAUUCAAAAAGAAAACAAGUUAAGGUAAAGGGCUGCUUAAAUUCCGAUAACAACUUUGUACCAUUUUCUAGAUAAUUUAACUAAAAACUGGAGUUACAAUGUGCAAAAUUUUCAUUACUAAUAUUCAUUUUUGUGAUUUCCAAUUUCACGAGAAAAUUGUUAUAGCUAAUAGUUCAGGAAACAAAUUUAUAACUUUAGAAUUUUUGUGAUACAAGAAACAUAUCUAAAGUAUAUAUUCAAAGAACAAUAGAAAUAGAGAAAACAUUUCAUCCAUAAGUAGCUAACAUCUCCAAGUAGAAAAAUUCAACUUUAUGUUUUAUUUCAAAUACUACUGUAUUUUUCAAGAAUCAAAGUUCUAAUAUAUUUUUCCUAUUCGUGUGCACGCAAGUCAAAAUAGUUAACUUGUCACACACUACCGAGGAUCUAACAAUGUGAUUGUGACUUCAUUAUUUGUACUGGUUAUCUGCGAUCCUGAUUUUGCUUCAUCAAAUAUGUUUCUUUCUGUGAAAAAUCCUGGUUCUUUAGCUUUUGGCAGUAGACUCUCAUUAGCCAACAUCAGAACGACAGAAGACAUGCUUGGUCUAUCAUCUGGAUGUUGUUGCACGCAUAAUAAACCC
RNAcentral lists this long non-coding RNA (2859 nucleotides) under Nicotiana tabacum (common tobacco). Its description in RNAcentral is "long non-coding RNA (NTAB_LNC018322)". The record is from RNAcentral. Lineage: Eukaryota; Viridiplantae; Streptophyta; Magnoliopsida; Solanales; Solanaceae.